ACCGUGAGGGAAAGUUGCAAAGAACUUUGAAGAGAGAGUUCAAGAGGGCGUGAAACCGCUGGGAAGGAAACGGAUAGAGUUGACGAAACACGGCGGCAUUCACCCGACCAUCUCUACGGAUGUCUUUGCUGUUAGCUGUUCCACUCGUGGAAUGGCAACGGCGAAGGUGGGACCGUAGGUUGGUUGGUGUAUUUGCCGUCGGUAUGCGCCGAGAAGUUCGCUGUGGUUCGCUAAUGCUGCCUAAAGAGGACCAUGCUCGAAUGAGUGUGGAAACCUUUAGCGGUUGAGGCGUAUCCGUGGUGAAUCUGCAUCGCAAGGCAGCGCCCGUUAUGGUGCAUUGGCUGUUGCGUGAUUGAUGUGGCUAUUGGGCGGUCGCGGAUGCGACUUGCCUAUAGUUGGCGUUGGUCCGUAGCAGCUUUUGCGCUGGCGUGAAACUCGGUGUAAAAGUCGACCACCUAUCCGACCCGUCUUGAAACACGGACCAAGGAGUUUAGCAUAUGCGCAAGUCAUUGGGUGGUAAACCCAAAGGCGUAAUGAAAGUAAAGACCGCUUUUAGCGGUUGAUAUGGGAUCCGCAGAGUUUAACGACAAUGCGGCGCACCAUAGCCCCGUCCCUGUUGCUUGCAAUGGGGCGGAGGUAGAGCGCAUACGCUGAGACCCGAAAGAUGGUGAACUAUGCCUGAGCAGGAUGAAGCCAGAGGAAACUCUGGUGGAAGUCCGAAGCGGUUCUGACGUGCAAAUCGAUCGUCUGAC
Molecule: ribosomal RNA, 752 nt
Filed under: Thelastoma sp. PL-2016
Lineage: Eukaryota; Metazoa; Nematoda; Chromadorea; Rhabditida; Thelastomatidae
Description: partial large subunit ribosomal RNA
Rfam family: Eukaryotic large subunit ribosomal RNA
Source: RNAcentral